RNAcentral lists this transfer RNA (66 nucleotides) under Haemaphysalis longicornis (longhorned tick). RNAcentral's name for it is "tRNA-Ile". Lineage: Eukaryota; Metazoa; Arthropoda; Arachnida; Ixodida; Ixodidae. The record is from RNAcentral.
AGUAAAAUGCCUGAAAUUAAAGGGUUAUCUUGAUAGGAUAAAUUAUGUACACUUAUACUUUUACUA